This 308-nucleotide long non-coding RNA is filed under the name Androctonus crassicauda. Lineage: Eukaryota; Metazoa; Arthropoda; Arachnida; Scorpiones; Buthidae. The record is from RNAcentral.
AAUUAGGAUUCGGAGCAUCCCUUGGCAGCCGGGCUACCUGAUGGCUGUCUUUGAUUUUGAUAACCUCUACCCCUCUUUGCAGCUAGAGCCAGUAUGUCUCGCUUUCUACAAAUUUUUGUUAGCCAAUUUACCACAUGCUCAAAGACGAGCCUCCCUACUCCGAGAUAUUGCUCACCUGUUAUGUCACAGGUCUUAUUUCAUGUUUAGAGGUACUUUACUACCAACAAACUACAGGAAUACCUAUAGGCAGCCCCCUUGCUGCCCCUUGCGAAGUUGAUUUUAAGGGAAAUAGAAAGUUCAAUACUCCC